Long non-coding RNA from Myotis davidii, 1484 nucleotides. RefSeq lists it as uncharacterized. The record is from RefSeq and is a predicted model, not a curated record. NCBI's taxonomy places the organism in Eukaryota, Metazoa, Chordata, Mammalia, Chiroptera, Vespertilionidae. The transcript is spliced from 4 exons.
CUCUUGAAGACACCAAGGGCCCUUCAAAACACAUGAUGUUCCUGCUCACAGCAUAAAGCCCAGUUCCCUUUGGCCUCUGCAGGUUGGCUCAUCACCAGGGAACCUGUGCCUCCUCUGAGACUAAAGCACCACUCCAGUAACAGGUCCAAGGACUGAGCCAACGUACUAGUGGACUAAUUUUUGGGAGGCUCUGGAAAGCUCAUUGAACACUUUCCUCACAAAUCUACCAGCUUCCUUGUUCCCCAGAUGGCUAUGGGUUGAAAGAUUCCAAUGUCUCACUGCCAAGACUGCUGCCUGUCUUUUGGCUUCCUUGAUGAUGUGUCUCCCUUUUCCCAGAGAGAUAAGUACAGCAAAAAGGUAAGAGAACUGAUGAGAAACGUUGGAAGGCACAAUGGGUUAAUAUAUGACACAACUCCGAACUGUGAGCAACUUAUACGACCUUUAGCAACUUUAUUCCUCAACAUGAGCCUUCAUUUCCUCAUUUAUAACAUGAGUAGGUGAGACUAGAUGCUAUUUCUUUUAUAGCCGCCAUUCUUGAGUCCCGAUGGUACAAGGACCCAUUGUUAGGCCUACAUCUCCCAUGAAGAUCUCAUCUCCCCACUGAAGCACCUGGCUCGGCCUCCUGCAGUGCCACGCUCCGUGUAUUUGACAAGCUGAGUUGGACACUCCAUGUGGUAGAGUGUCAGUUUGUCAAAUACCCCAAGUGCGGCAUGUGCCUAGCAGCUCCAAGCCAGGCCAGUUGGGGUACAACAAAUAGAUGAUCAGCAGGAUAAAAUAACACACAACAAAUACCAACUAAGCUCUCACAGGUUAUUUUAAGGUAACUGAGAGAAUGUAAGCAUUGUAUCUCAGGUCUGGAAAAGUCAGACAGCUUUAAGAGCCACAGCCCUGGGUGGUGCCUACAUAUAUUGUGAGAGCCUGAGGGGGGAAAGGUAGCCUUGUAAAGGUAUCCAGGGCCCAGGGAUGAAAAUGCUACUUGAUUCAUUAUUUUUUUUCUUCACAUUCCCCAUUCCAGAGUAUACCAGCCGUCUCACACAACCAUCAUGGCAGAGCUUAGAAGCCCAUUUUUCUGACACUCAGUCUUAGCUCUAAACGCACUUUGACCUUACCUAUCUCUCUCCUUUUCCUCAUGCUUUUUCUCCUUCUGAGAACACCGUCCCCAUUUAUUUCUGCCUGAUUCCUUCCCAUAUUUCCUUGUACAGGCAAAAUCAAGUUUCUGCAGGGACUUUUGAAAAAUAAACCUAUACUUUUUUCCUUCAUUCUCAAAUCACUUCUUGCCUGGGUCCUUCUAUGUACACCUUUAUCUCCUACUGCCCAAUAACACUGCUUAAAUUGUUAAUUAUCUUUUUCAGAAUAUAUUUUGAAUCCUCUACUUUGUUUAUGACAAGACCAUGUUUCCUUGAUUGCUGUCUCUCCAUUUCAUUCCUACCCCCACAGGACUCUGGUUACAGAAAAUAUUCAAUAAAGUUUUACUGAUUGAUUGA